AAUGUUAUUAGCCAUUAGCAAGUUAUAUAAUUCGAACAAUGAUCUGUUGUCCCAAAACAUGUUCCAAAUCAUGUCCCGCACUAAUGAAAACAUGUCAACAUUCAUUAUUUAUUCUAUUUUUGUUUCAAUGUUUGGAACAGCAGAUCUUUAUUCAUGUAAUUCAAAAGCAAAUCAAAAAAGGCAACUCAUGCUUUUAUUUUACCUCAGCAGUUGUAGAAUCAGCUGAGAAAUGAUAGGUGAUUACUGAGUGUUUCUUGAAGUACUUAGACUGCAAAAAUUCAACAAUUUUUUCCAAAGCUUCCUCUUCUUCUUCCUCAUAUUUGUCAUCAGCUGCCAACCUGUCCCUCACAGCACUCUCAAUUUGAACACCAUAUUGUGCACCUUUGAUCUCUUUGAUCACCACAAGUCUUACAACCUUCUCAACUGGAGCUGCACAUAUGCACAUCUAUCAUUCACUAUUGUUACUCAUCAUUGGCAAUACAUCACUAUUACUUCAUUCAUACCAAUUAAUCAACAAAAGAAAUUACAUUAUUAAAGCUUUUGAGAGACAUUUUUUUUUGAACUGCAGUUAUUGGAGAACAAAGCUACCAUAGAAACAAGACAGCUCCAGUAACAGUUAAAAUUCAUUUAAAAAAAAUAAAAUAAAAAUAUUGGAGAACAAAGUCACCAUGGAAACAAGACAACUCCAGUAACAGUUAACCAUUAACUGUUACUGGAGCUGUCUUAUUUCCAUGGUGGCUUUGCUCUCUAAUAGCAGUUGCAAUUGUUUGGCGUAGUUGCCCUUCCAAGAAGUGUCAUUUCCAGGAAUUGAACAUUUGACAUUUUGGUCAUUCUGAGAUCUAGCGGGGUCUUAUAUCACUAUAUCAAUGUCUUGUUGAUAAACCAGAGUUGCAAUUGAAAUUAUAUUGUGUCUACCGCAAUAAAAUGUGGCCAAUGCAGUUGCAAAUGUAGAGACCACUAAAACUGCAACAUUGCAGCCAGAACUGCCGUUGCUGAUCAUGAAUUAAAGACCCUUUUUGUUUGUAAUUAAUAGCGAUAAUCUCUGAAGAUAUUCAUACAACUUGUGUUACUGAGGAUCACAACUUACCAAAAAUGACAGAAUCAAAGAAGCCAUCAUUCUCUUCAAUUAGCAAGUUAUAUAAUUCGAACAAUGAUCUGUUGUCCCAAAACAUGUUCCAAAUCAUGUCCCGCACUAAUGAAAACAUGUCAACAUUCAUUAUUUAUUCUAUUUUUGUUUCAAUGUUUGGAACAGCAGAUCUUUAUUCAUGUAAUUCAAAAGCAAAUCAAAAAAGGCAACUCAUGCUUUUAUUUUACCUCAGCAGUUGUAGAAUCAGCUGAGAAAUGAUAGGUGAUUACUGAGUGUUUCUUGAAGUACUUAGACUGCAAAAAUUCAACAAUUUUUUCCAAAGCUUCCUCUUCUUCU
This 1423-nucleotide long non-coding RNA is filed under the name Lupinus angustifolius (narrow-leaved blue lupine). Its description in RNAcentral is "long non-coding RNA (LANG_LNC002326)". The record is from RNAcentral. Lineage: Eukaryota; Viridiplantae; Streptophyta; Magnoliopsida; Fabales; Fabaceae.